GUGGGGAAUAUUGGUCAAUGGGGGGAACCCUGAUCCAGCCAUGCCGCGUGUGUGAAGAAGGCCUUUUGGUUGUAAAGCACUUUAAGCGAGGAGGAGGCUACCGAGAUUAAUACUCUUGGAUAGUGGACGUUACUCGCAGAAUAAGCACCGGCUAACUCUGUGCCAGCAGCCGCGGUAAUACAGAGGGUGCAAGCGUUAAUCGGAUUUACUGGGCGUAAAGCGCGCGUAGGUGGCCAAUUAAGUCAAAUGUGAAAUCCCCGAGCUUAACUUGGGAAUUGCAUUCGAUACUGGUUGGCUAGAGUAUGGGAGAGGAUGGUAGAAUUCCAGGUGUAGCGGUGAAAUGCGUAGAGAUCUGGAGGAAUACCGAUGGCGAAGGCAGCCAUCUGGCCUAAUACUGACACUGAGGUGCGAAAGCAUGGGGAGCAAACAGGAUUAGAUACCCUUGUAGUCC
This 451-nucleotide ribosomal RNA is filed under the name uncultured bacterium. Its description in RNAcentral is "partial 16S ribosomal RNA". It matches the Rfam family "Bacterial small subunit ribosomal RNA", at positions 354 to 796 of the family's 1533-position model. The record is from RNAcentral.